RNAcentral lists this long non-coding RNA (1453 nucleotides) under Equus caballus (horse). RNAcentral describes it as "lncRNA (ENSECAG00000053819.1)". Lineage: Eukaryota; Metazoa; Chordata; Mammalia; Perissodactyla; Equidae. The record is from RNAcentral.
CUGGCCAAAUCAGGUUUAAAAAGUUUACUUUUCCUUCCCUUAGCAGUGGAACAUUUCCUCCAGCUGAAAUCCCGUAUAGAAGUCCAAUAUGUGAAACCAGUCAGAAGCAGGUGACAGAAACCAGGGUCACAGCCUCCAGGUGACCCUUCAGCUCCCACAGCAGACAGCCCUUCAAGAGAUUCUCAAGGCACUGGCUGAAGGGUCCACACAGAGAUCCUGGAGGCCCCCUCUGACUCUAGCACACCUUGAGUUUCUGCCUUCCAGACUCAUAGUCAAUCCUGUGGGUUAUUUUUCAUCUUGAAAUUGGGAUUCCACAUGAUUUUGUAGUCAGUUUUUUACAAAAUAACCCAUGGACAGGUAAAAAGUUUUAGCAGCCUCUUCUCCAUCGGCAAGUUCAUCUUGGUCAUCACCAACUCACCCCAAGCACGAUGAGAAGCCAUUGGCCUUAGUGUUUUUCCAGCUCAGACCAAGACCCGGCUUCUUGAAGCUCGGCUGAAACCCUGGUUCUGCCCCAUCCACGAUCAAUAUCCCAUUACUGCGUGUGGUCAGAAAGCCCCCAUGAGUCACUCAGAAACUACGCUCGAUCGUAGACAAAUUAAACUGUUACGACUUGUUCUAAUUACUUAAUAAAGCUUGUAGUACGCCUAAGAACCCAUGUGGAUGAAAGCAGCAUUACUCAUGUAGAACAUUAUUAUUACAGCAACAAUCGCCAUCGUGCCAAAAUUCCGGAGUCCCACCCUCAAGAAAAGAGUCCUGCCUCAUAGGAGCUGCUGGAGGCUGCUGUGCAAACAGACACCCCACCGGAUGAUGCAACAUCUGCCCGAACAGGGCGUUUGCUGUCAAGCGGGGCGAGAUUCAUAGUUCUGGCCGCAAUAGCCUGUCCCACUGACAGGACCCCGAGGCCGUUCCAGCGGGAGGAGAGCCAAGGAGGCUGCGCUCGUGGACUUGACGUGUCUCGCAGGCCUGCUCCUAGAAUUUCAUCCCUUGCCGUCCCCGCUUCUCUCCCCCUCCAGCCCAGCGUGAACUUCACUUGGGCCAAAAAAUCAGCUGCAUGAGAACAGGAUGGAGCAGGCAGCUGGAGACACGAGUCAAUAAAGCCCGCGAAGGAAACCUCAGGAUUUUCCUAACUGUGAACUUAGCGAGAAGCAACAGCAGGAGCUCCAGAAACUUCCUUAGGUGACAUGGACUGGCGGGAAGAGGAGGAAACGAAAGAGCCAACAUUCAAAUGAAAUGAAAUUGCUUAGAGGUCUUCAAAUAAAUAGCUGGCUGGUGAAAAUAAAAUAAGUUUUUAAAAAAUUGAGAGCCAUUCUCCAGAUGCCUCAUUGCUGGCUGUAGUAUGGCCGGAUUGGUGGGUUGGUAUAAGGAUGGAGGGGAAAGCCUGACCUGAGAUCUCAGAGCAUCUGAUUCUGGUUUGCAAUUAACUCAGAAAUCCGCAGGAAGAGAUGCUAUGCCA